Molecule: non-coding RNA, 2048 nt
Organism: Taeniopygia guttata (zebra finch)
Lineage: Eukaryota; Metazoa; Chordata; Aves; Passeriformes; Estrildidae
Source: RefSeq, a predicted model, not a curated record
GCUCGCCUCGCCGCCUUGCCUUCCUGGGCGGCUCCACCGCUCCAGGGGCCGCAAAGAGCCUGCCCGCUUCUCUGGGGCUUGCGCGCUUACAGGGACGCUCCCGGGGAAAGUGCCAGCGCAAAGCUUAGAGCAAGUCGGUCUGUUAGAGAACCGCAGAAUUGACUGUGUUGGAAAAGACAUUUGAGGCUAUCGAGUCCGAACUAUGACUGAACACCACCAAGUCAGCUAGAGCAUGGCGCUGAGUGUCAGAUGUUUUCUUGAACACUUCCGGGGGCGGUGACUCCAUCACCUUCCUCGGCCGCCGAUUCCACUAAUAACCCUUUUUUGUUAAGAAAUCCCUCUACACUUCCUCCUUUUGUAACCUCAGAAUGGGCAGGACCUUUCAGGUCCUUAGAAAUGGUGGAUCUCUCAGAGCAAGCUUCAAGGGAAACACCUUUUGUUUUACUGAACAUGAGUAGAAGAAACAGAGGAGUUAUUUGCCUUCUUCCUUAAACCUUUGGUGGGGUUAAUAAAAUACUUUUUGAAUGCUUAUGAGAAAAACGUGCAGCUGAAUGCAGUUUCUCAUUGUUACCUGCUUGCUAGUUCACUAUGAAGCAAAAAAGAUUGAUGACUUUACAUUGUUUUCAAAUGUGGUCUCUAAGACUCAGGCAGAGUAUUUGUUGAAGAGAAAGUACAGGAUAACUCUUGGAAGUAUCAAGUCAACCCUCUCCUCAUCUGUUGUUCUUUCAGGUUACAACUCUCUAAGAGGUCACGAAGUGCCUUGGAGUGUGUUAAAGUGUUGCCAAAGCAUGCACCUCCCACAGCCACUGGCUCAGGCCAGUCCCAAGUUACGGACUAAGGGUGCACAUGGGUAGUGUGAGAGCAUUAAUCUUCAUAGCGCUGUGGCUGUGGAAAGCUAUACCUUGGCAUCAUUUUUCAAAGCCAGUAGCUAAGAACUUCUGUUUUAAUAGAUGGAAGUAAGGACAAGGACCUUUUUCAGAAUACUUAUGUAGCAAUUGUGAUCAAUAAAUCAGUAUUUUGGCUUUAUUAAACUGCUCUGGCACAGUGUUUCCAAUACAUGCUUAUCUUGCAUGGGUGCAUCUCAAAGCACCUGUGAAUUUGCUGCAAUGUUCUACCUGGGAGGAAGACUCUUUUAAUUACUGAAGUUUAAGAAAGCUUUUCUGCACUUUCUUCCUGGCUUUCAUAUUUUGGGCAAUGUCUUUAGGUUAGUGUUAGUAACAAAAACCCUGGUCCCAUGACAACAACCUCUAAGAGAAAAGGAUAACCUGUUCCCUUACCUAUGUUUUAGGGUGUUUUAGGUUGCUGAUGCAAUAUCUAGGCAGCAUAAACUUCUGAACAAUUUUUUUUUUUUUUUUUUUUUUUUUUUUUUUUUUUUCUGUGUGACAGUGUAUUUUUUCUGUUUCACAGUGGUCAGGAACCAUUCCUGAUUUGAGAAGCUGACAUCUGUUUGAGUUAAAAAUUUGUCUUCCGUGACACUUCUGGGUCCCUGUUUCAGUGUGCUACCACUCAUGGUGAAAAAUUUUUCAAAAAUAUACACUGAAUUUCCUGUAUUACAAUAAAUGUGCUUGUCUUGUCUGAUCACUGUGUUCUUCCAAGGAGGCUCCAUCUAUUAAAGAUGGGUAAUAUGAUGAUCGGUUCUUACAAUUAAGAGAUUAAUAUUUUGUGUAUGUUAAGAGAAGUUUCACUGUCUGUUGUUUGGACAUCCGCUGUUCUCUCCAUAGUCCCCUUCCCCCUCUGAAUUGUAAUGGGACAGCCUUGGUUCUCAGGGUAGGUUUGUUACUAGGAGGCCGAGGCAUGACAACACCUGACCUCAAAUCAAGUAGCAAGGAAGUAGUCUCCACCAAUGGACGGCGAAGAAGAAGUUUACUGACAGACUUUGGGAGUGGCCAGGGUUGCCUGAUGCUCCGGUGGGGUAUAAAAGGUGGAGCAGCAAUUUUGUAGAUGAGCAUGUGGUCAGUCAUAUGCUUACAGAUCUCUGCCCUUUUUCUUUAUUCAGUCCUUUGUUGUGUUUGUGAAGGUUUAAUAAACCUUGAAAAUUUUAGAAGUCA